AGAGUUUGAUCCUGGCUCAGAUUGAACGCUGGCGGCGUGCCUUACACAUGCAAGUCGAACGGCAGCACGGGAGCAAUCCUGGUGGCGAGUGGCGAACGGGUGAGUAAUACAUCGGAACGUGCCCAGUUGUGGGGGAUAGCCCGGCGAAAGCCGGAUUAAUACCGCAUACGACCUACGGGUGAAAGCGGGGGAUCGCAAGACCUCGCGCAAUUGGAGCGGCCGAUGGCAGAUUAGCUUGUUGGUGGGGUAAAAGCCUACCAAGGCGACGAUCUGUAGCUGGUCUGAGAGGACGACCAGCCACACUGGGACUGAGACACGGCCCAGACUCUUACGGGAGGCAGCAGUGGGGAAUUUUGGACAAUGGGCGCAAGCCUGAUCCAGCCAUGCCGCGUGUGGGAAGAAGGCCUUCGGGUUGUAAACCACUUUUGUCAGGGAAGAAACGGUCUGAUCUAAUAAAUCGGACUAAUGACGGUACCUGAAGAAUAAGCACCGGCUAACUACGUGCCAGCAGCCGCGGUAAUACGUAGGGUGCAAGCGUUAAUCGGAAUUACUGGGCGUAAAGCGUGCGCAGGCGGCUAUGCAAGACAGAUGUGAAAUCCCCGGGCUCAACCUGGGAACUGCAUUUGUGACUGCAUGGCUAGAGUACGGCAGAGGGGGAUGGAAUUCCGCGUGUAGCAGUGAAAUGCGUAGAUACGCGGAGGAACACCGAUGGCGAAGGCAAUCCCCUGGGCCUGUACUGACGCUCAUGCACGAAAGCGUGGGGAGCAAACAGGAUUAGAUACCCUGGUAGUCCACGCCCUAAACGAUGUCAACUGGUUGUUGGACGGCUUGCUGUUCAGUAACGAAGCUAACGCGUGAAGUUGACCGCCUGGGGAGUACGGCCGCAAGGUUGAAACUCAAAGGAAUUGACGGGGACCCGCACAAGCGGUGGAUGAUGUGGUUUAAUUCGAUGCAAGGCGAAAAACCUUACCUACCCUUGACAUGUCUAGAAGUUUCCAGAGAUGGAUUCGUGCUCGAAAGAGAACUAGAACACAGGUGCUGCAUGGCCGUCGUCAGCUCGUGUCGUGAGAUGUUGGGUUAAGUCCCGCAACGAGCGCAACCCUUAUCAUUAGUUGCUACGCAAGGGCACUCUAAUGAGACUGCCGGUGACAAACCGGAGGAAGGUGGGGAUGACGUCAGGUCAUCAUGGCCCUUAUGGGUAGGGCUACACACGUCAUACAAUGGCCGGUACAGAGGGCUGCCAACUCGCGAGAGGGAGCUAGUCUCAGAAAACCCGUCGUAGUCCGGAUCGCAGUCUGCAACUCGACUGCGUGAAGUCGGAAUCGCUAGUAAUCGCGGAUCAGCUUGCCGCGGUGAAUACGUUCCCGGGUCUUGUACACACCGCCCGUCACACCAUGGGAGCGGGUUCUGCCAGAAGUAGUUAGCCUAACCGCAAGGAGGGCGAUUACCACGGCAGGGUUCGUGACUGGGGUGAAGUCGUAACAAGGUA
This 1489-nucleotide ribosomal RNA is filed under the name metagenome. Its description in RNAcentral is "bacterial SSU rRNA". It matches the Rfam family "Bacterial small subunit ribosomal RNA". The record is from RNAcentral.